RNAcentral lists this long non-coding RNA (309 nucleotides) under Androctonus crassicauda. The record is from RNAcentral. Lineage: Eukaryota; Metazoa; Arthropoda; Arachnida; Scorpiones; Buthidae.
CGCGUUGGGAAGUUCCAGAGUGGUAAGGGCCCUCCUAGGGGAGCGGAGCGGGAAACCUGCGUAUGGGGGACCCUCUACGAUUUUUGACAUGUUACGAAGUGGUGGGGACCCAAGGAGGACGGAGCAUAGGGGUGGUGUCUGCCGGAUCCCUCUGGUCAGCCUUGGUGCGGAUGAGCGGGGGGUCUGCAUGGGGGCGGCCGCCAGGAGCUUGAUGGACCGGGUUGCUGAGCACGGGCGAGCUGUUCGAGUGGGAGAGGCGUCUGCAGCACUGGCGGCGGAGGCCUGCAGUAGUAACGUAUUUGUUGGGUG